This 433-nucleotide ribosomal RNA is filed under the name uncultured bacterium. Its description in RNAcentral is "partial 16S ribosomal RNA". It matches the Rfam family "Bacterial small subunit ribosomal RNA", at positions 29 to 507 of the family's 1533-position model. The record is from RNAcentral.
AACGAACGCUGGCGGCAUGCCUAACACAUGCAAGUCGAACGAAGUCUUCGGACUUAGUGGCGCACGGGUGCGUAACGCGUGGGAAUCUGCCCUUGGGUACGGAAUAACUCAGAGAAAUUUGUGCUAAUACCGUAUAAUGUCUUCGGACCAAAGAUUUAUCGCCCAAGGAUGAGCCCGCGUAAGAUUAGCUAGUUGGUGGGGUAAAAGCCUACCAAGGCGACGAUCUUUAGCUGGUCUGAGAGGAUGAUCAGCCACACUGGGACUGAGACACGGCCCAGACUCCUACGGGAGGCAGCAGUGGGGAAUAUUGGACGAUGGGCGAAAGCCUGAUCCAGCAGUGCCGCGUGAGUGAUGAAGGCCCUAGGGUUGUAAAGCUCUUUUACCAGGGAUGAUAAUGACAGUACCUGGAGAAUAAGCUCCGGCUAACUCCGUG